Molecule: long non-coding RNA, 2026 nt
Organism: Lynx canadensis (Canada lynx)
Lineage: Eukaryota; Metazoa; Chordata; Mammalia; Carnivora; Felidae
Exons: 3
Source: RefSeq, a predicted model, not a curated record
AACUCACAGAUCGUGAGAUCGUGACCUGAGCCGAAGUCGGAUGCUUAACCGACUGAGCCCCCCCGGCGUCCCAACAGCACUUUUAAUAUAAUUCCCUGCUGAAAGCGUGUCUGAAAGCGUGUGCACCUUUAGCCGGUAGUCAGCUAGAGUGGACGGGUUGACCACCGGGCGCGACGUUGUUAAACCACCUCGUUAGCAACACCCGCUCCAUUUAAUCCAAGAACUAAAUCUUGCCAGAUACAGGUCAAAGCUUAGAGUUGCUGCGAAUGUGUCUAAUUCAGCGUUAAGAGAAAGGCUAAAAGCCCAGAGAGCAUUUCUGCUGCUGUUCCCCACCCCGCCCCACCCCGCCCCACCCCGUGAUCUAAAUGUAACGGAAAUGACACUCUACGUAUCAGAUAUUUACGAGCGCUCAUGGGCUCUGGAGUGGCCGCUAUCUUUCAUACUGCGAUGAAAGAGCCGUGAGGAAGAGAGUGUGAUGCGCCUCACUCGGAAGGGGCUGGAGUGUGAGCAGCUGUCUUCGCAGACUAUAGACUCGUUGAAGACGAGGAUGCAUCUUCUCCGUUCCCGAAGCCUCCGUUCCGAGCAGUACCCACCAGACACUUCGCACGGGCGGCAGGAUGUGUGCGAGGUGACUGUCCCCACCCAGGCCACAGCUCGUCUCCUCCCUGAGGGUGCUGGCAGGUGCAUCAGACGCUUUGAGAAUUCUAGAUCUGCGUUCACACACAACAUCCGUGCAGUGUUCUAGCAAGUUCUGAGCUCUUAGGCUGUGGUCGGUUGUGUGUUUUCCUGGACGUGCAGGAUUCUGGAGACCCACAGAGAAGACAGGAGACCAUGUGAGGGCUGGUGGCCCCCCCCCCCCCCGCCGCGCCAGUCCACUCUCUUCUUCGUUCUGGUCACCUAGUCUCCCCACAAAGACUACAUUUCCCGGUUCCCCUUGUGGCCCGGUGCGGCCACGUGACCCGGUGCCCACGCGAGAUUUGCGAGAGAACAAACUUGUGUGACUUGUCGCUUGCCCCAAAGGAGACGGUUGCCCUGGGUUUGCUGUCUUUCCCCCUUUCCCUCAGGCGGGACCCGGGACAGGCCCGCGACCGGCCUCAACUCUACACACAAAGACGUUAUCUCAGGGGGCGGCAGGGCAGUGACUCGGGGAAUCAGGGUCCCUGAAGGUGGAGCAGGGAUGCGCCCACCUGGAAUAGUGAGUCAUCGAGGGUAUUGGAUGCUUUGCUACGAGGACCCCUCCUGUCCGGGGACCUACCCCCCUCUUCCCUCCCUAAUGACGUGUACUUGUCCCAUGCACGUCAUGUUACCUGUGUAAUAUUUAUCAUUACGUGUUUAUCAUUCCGCCCAGCACCUAACACCACGGAACAUACGCGCUUUCCCUUAGCACGUCGUCCUUAACUAGACGGCGAGUUCUCGGAGGCGGAUCUGCGACCUUGUUCACCAUCACAUCCCCAGCGCCCAGCCAGUGCUCCGUUCACAGUCAGUGCCCAGUUCAUCUACCUGGAAUGAAAUACGGCUGUGUUUGGGAGGGGAGCCCGGGUUCUGCGGCCGACGCCUCUGUGAGGGAGGAAGAGGGUUAGAGGGGUCUUUUCCCACUUGGCCGGGGUCCGCAGGCCGGCUGGCCUCAUGCUGCUCCUCUUCUCGGGAGGAGUCCAGAUCGUGAUGUGUCCAGGGCGGUUGCUUGGUGGAAGGUGUGCGUGGAGUUUACCCCGGUCUGCGCCCGGGUGCUCCUGAGUCAACGGACUGACCUUCAUCCUCCUCACGCUCACCUGUAAAAUGAGUGCAACACACGCUUAUUUUGCCGCGACACGUUUCGGGCGGAUCGUGUCCCCUCAAAGCCCCAGCCCCAGCGCCUCAGGACGUGAUUACAUUCGGAGAGGGUUCAAAUCGGGUCGUUAGGGGGGGUGUCCUCACAAGCAGAGGAUGUGGAGGGAGAGACACAGAGGGACAGCUCAAGGACCCCGGGGGAAGGUAGCCAUCUACUCGUUGGGGAGAGAGGCCUCUGAAGAAACCAAACCCUGGGGGC